Molecule: long non-coding RNA, 218 nt
Filed under: Elaeis guineensis (African oil palm)
Lineage: Eukaryota; Viridiplantae; Streptophyta; Magnoliopsida; Arecales; Arecaceae
Description: long non-coding RNA (EGUI_LNC071717)
Source: RNAcentral
UCAUUCUUGGAGGACCCGUUAUAACCAAUAUUUUGAUGGUAAGUCCGAUCGACGUCCGCCACCUAAGGAGUUAAGUGGAGCAGAAAUUUUAGAACAACUUGAAGUCAAUAAAAAUAUCUAAUUUGGAAAAACAUCGGAUACUCGCAAGCGAAAACGUAUUGAAGCUGAACAGAAUUGGAUGAAGCGAAGUAUCUUUUUCGAACUACCGUAUUGGAAGC